CAUAGGACUCUAUAGUAUUAUGUUAAAAGAAAAAAAGUUAAAUUCACGUUUAUUAUAUUGUCUAAUACCAUCUAGCGUUGUAUACCAAAUAUGCACUUGAGGGGCAAGUAAACUGCAUGUAGUGUCAUGUAUGAAGCAUAUCUAGACCGUUUUCUUGAUAUGAAACUGAAGAGCUCCAAGGAACUUGGAGUAUUCCAUUUUGCCAGAAAACUUUUUGGUACAUUGAAAAAUCUAUGCCCUUUAUGUAAUGAAUUAGGAUGCAAGCUGAGAUGAAUUCAUUGUUUAAAUGAUCAAUAAUUAGAUAAGUCUGAUGCUUCAAAUUCUGGUGGCGAGAGGAGAAAUGGUUCAUAUGGGGGCAUCUAUGGUAGUUCCUGUAAUUUAACACACAGAGGAGACCUGGGGAGUACUAAAUUCACCAUUGAAGAAAUCUACAAGGCCACCAAAAACUUUUCUCCUAGCUUCAAAAUUGGACAAGGUGGUUUUGGGACAGUCUACAAGGGUCGACUCAAAGAUGGUACUUUGGUUGCAGUUGAGCGUACUAAGAAGGUUGGAGGUCGACAAAAAUGUCACCAGUUAUUGCUAGUUUUGUUUUUUAAGGUUCUUCUCUGUGUGCAGAUUGUCUAUGAUAAACCUUUAGGUACAGAAUUUCAGAGAAGUUCAAACACUGGCACAAGUGGAACAUCUAAAUCUAGUUAAAUUUCAUGGCUAUUUGGAGCACGAAGAUGAAAGGAUUAUUGUCAUGGAACAUGUUCCAAAUGGAACCCUUAGAGAACACUUGGACUGUAAGUUCUUUCUCACCAUAUUGUACAAUUAGUGCUUGUUAAUGAUAAAAUGGAAGAUUCUGGUAAUACACUCAGCCCGUGUUUGAGCCCAAUUUUUUCAAAAAUUCAUUUUUUCAAAAUUCAUUUUCAUCAACACAUUUUUUAAUAAAAUAAUUUAACCACAUAUUUUCCAAAAACUCACUAUUCAAAAAUACAUCUUCUCUUCAAAAUGGGGCUCAAACAAGGGCUCAAUGUACUUUUUUAUUUAUUUGCAACAAUUAUUGUGUCAUUCUCGUAAUUCCUAGAUAGAAAAGUUAUCAAAAUUCUCUCAUUCCUUUCAGGAUUUUUUACUCAAAUAUAUUCUAAUCUAUAUUAUCUAACAGCGAACAUGUGAUUCACUGGUCCAGGUGUGCACCGUAAUGUUCUUGAUUUUAUUGUGAGGUUAAAUAUAGCAAUAGACGCCUCACGCAAUUACCUAUCUC
RNAcentral lists this long non-coding RNA (1243 nucleotides) under Olea europaea subsp. europaea. Lineage: Eukaryota; Viridiplantae; Streptophyta; Magnoliopsida; Lamiales; Oleaceae. The record is from RNAcentral.